RNAcentral lists this ribosomal RNA (1529 nucleotides) under uncultured Verrucomicrobiota bacterium. Its description in RNAcentral is "bacterial SSU rRNA". It matches the Rfam family "Bacterial small subunit ribosomal RNA". The record is from RNAcentral. Lineage: Bacteria; Pseudomonadati; Verrucomicrobiota.
UAGAGUUUGAUCCUGGCUCAGGACUAACGUUGGCGGCGUGCCUAAUACAUGCAAGUCGAGCGGAUCAGGGGGCAACUCCUGGUUAGCGGCGAACGGGUGAGUAACACGUGGAUGAUCUACCUUUGAGUUAGGGACAACCAGCCGAAAGGUUGGCUAAUACCCAAUAUGACCACGACCAGUAUCAUCUGGUUGCGGUAAAAGCCGGGGAUCGCAAGACCUGGCGCUUGAAAAUGAGUCCGCGUCUGAUUAGCUAGUUGGCGGGGUAACGGCCCACCAAGGCGACGAUCAGUAGCCGGCCUGAGAGGGUGAACGGCCACACUGGGACUGAGACACGGCCCAGACUCCUACGGGAGGCAGCAGUAGGGAAUUUUCCACAAUGGGCGCAAGCCUGAUGGAGCAACGCCGCGUGAGGGAUGAAGGUCUUCGGAUUGUAAACCUCUUUGGAGUGGGAAGAACGAUUUCCGUGUUAACAGCGCGGGGAAGUGACGGUACCACUAGAACAAGACACGGCCAACUCUGUGCCAGCAGCCGCGGUAAUACAGAGGUCCCGAGCGUUGUUCGGAUUCACUGGGCGUAAAGGGUGCGUAGGCGGUGAUGUAAGUUUGAUGUGAAAGCUCGCAGCUCAACUGCGAAAUGGCAUUGAAUACUACAUUGCUAGAGGCUUGGAGGGGGGACUGGAAUUCUCGGUGUAGCAGUGAAAUGCGUAGAUAUCGAGAGGAACACCAGUGGCGAAGGCGAGUCCCUGGACAAGUCCUGACGCUGAGGCACGAAAGCUAGGGGAGCAAACAGGAUCAGAUACCCUGGUAGUCCUAGCCGUAAACGGUGCUUGCUUGCUGUAAAAGGAAUCGACCCCUUUUGUGGCGAAGCUAACGCGAUAAGCAAGCCGCCUGGGAAGUACGGUCGCAAGAUUAAAACUCAAAGAAAUUGACGGGGGCCUGCACAAGCGGUGGAGUAUGUGGCUUAAUUCGAUGCAACGCGAAGAACCUUACCUGGCCUUGACAUGCAAGUAGUAGGAGCGUGAAAGCGUGACGAUCCCGCAAGGGAAGCUUGCACAGGUGCUGCAUGGCUGUCGUCAGCUCGUGUCGUGAGAUGUUGGGUUAAGUCCCGCAACGAGCGCAACCCCUGUGUCCUGUUGCCACCCGGCCGAGAGGCUGGAGCACUCUGGACAGACUGCCUCGCUUCAACGAGGAGGAAGGUGGGGAUGACGUCAAGUCAGGAUGGCCCUUACGGCCAGGGCUGCACACGUACUACAAUGCCCGGUACAAAGGGAAGCGAGACCGUCAGGUGGAGCAAACCCCAAAAAACCGGGCCCAGUUCAGAUUGUCGUCUGCAACUCGACGACAUGAAGCCGGAAUCGCUAGUAAUGGCGCAUCAGCUACGGCGCCGUGAGUACGUUCCCAGGCCUUGUACACACCGCCCGUCACAUCAUGAAAGCCGGUCGUACCCGAAGUCGCUGUGUCAACCGCAAGGAAACAGGUGCCGAAGGUAUGGCUGGUGAUUGGGAUGAAGUCGUAACAAGGUAACCGUAA